RNAcentral lists this ribosomal RNA (380 nucleotides) under Betta raja. RNAcentral describes it as "partial 12S ribosomal RNA". It matches the Rfam family "Bacterial small subunit ribosomal RNA", at positions 801 to 1384 of the family's 1533-position model. The record is from RNAcentral. Lineage: Eukaryota; Metazoa; Chordata; Actinopteri; Anabantiformes; Osphronemidae.
UAAACAUUGAUACAUUACUACAUUUUCAAUUCGCCCGGGUACUACAAGCACUAGCUUAAAACCCAAAGGACUUGGCGGUGCUUAAGAUCCCCCUAGAGGAGCCUGUUCUAGAACCGAUAAUCCACGUUUAACCUCACCCUCCCUUGUUUUUCCCGCCUAUAUACCGCCGUCGUCAGCUUACCCUGUGAAGGUCUAACAGUGAGCAAAAAUGGCACAGCCCAAAACGUCAGGUCGAGGUGUAGCGCAUGAGAGGGGAAGAAAUGGGCUACAUUCUCUAAAAAUAGAAGCACACGGAUAAUAUAUUGAAACAUAUAUUUUAAGGAGGAUUUAGCAGUAAGUAGAAAUUAGAAUAUUCCACUGAAUCCGGCCCUAAAGCGCGC